UCGAUGGGAAACAGGUUAAUAUUCCUGUACUUGGUGUUACUGCGAAGGGGGGACGGAGAAGGCUAUGUUGGCCGGGCGACGGUUGUCCCGGUUUAAGCAUGUAGGCGGAGAUUCCAGGUAAAUCCGGAGUCUUGUUAACGCUGAGGUGUGAUGACGAGGCACUACGGUGCUGAAGUAACAAAUGCCCUGCUUCCAGGAAAAGCCUCUAAGCAUCAGGUAACACAAAAUCGUACCCCAAACCGACACAGGUGGUCAGGUAGAGAAUACCAAGGCGCUUGAGAGAACUCGGGUGAAGGAACUAGGCAAAAUGGUGCCGUAACUUCGGGAGAAGGCACGCUGAUAUGUAGGUGAAGUGAUUUACUCAUGGAGCUGAAAUCAGUCGAAGAUACCAGCUGGCUGCAACUGUUUAUUAAAAACACAGCACUGUGCAAACACGAAAGUGGACGUAUACGGUGUGACGCCUGCCCGGUGCCGGAAGGUUAAUUGAUGGGGUUAUCCGUAAGGAGAAGCUCUUGAUCGAAGCCCCGGUAAACGGCGGCCGUAACUAUAACGGUCCUAAGGUAGCGAAAUUCCUUGUCGGGUAAGUUCCGACCUGCACGAAUGGCGUAAUGAUGGCCAGGCUGUCUCCACCCGAGACUCAGUGAAAUUGAACUCGCUGUGAAGAUGCAGUGUACCCGCGGCAAGACGGAAAGACCCCGUGAACCUUUACUAUAGCUUGACACUGAACACUGGUCCUUGAUGUGUAGGAUAGGUGGGAGGCUUUGAAGUGUGGACGCCAGUCUGCAUGGAGCCAACCUUGAAAUACCACCCUUUAAUGGCUGGUGUUCUAACGUAGACCCGUGAUCCGGGUUGCGGACAGUGUCUGGUGGGUAGUUUGACUGGGGCGGUCUCCUCCUAAAGAGUAACGGAGGAGCACGAAGGUUAGCUAAUCCUGGUCGGACAUCAGGAGGUUAGUGCAAAGGCAUAAGCUAGCUUGACUGCGAGAGUGACGGCUCGAGCAGGUGCGAAAGCAGGUCUUAGUGAUCCGGUGGUUCUGAAUGGAAGGGCCAUCGCUCAACGGAUAAAAGGUACUCCGGGGAUAACAGGCUGAUACCGCCCAAGAGUUCAUAUCGACGGCGGUGUUUGGCACCUCGAUGUCGGCUCAUCACAUCCUGGGGCUGAAGUAGGUCCCAAGGGUAUGGCUGUUCGCCAUUUAAAGUGGUACGCGAGCUGGGUUUAGAACGUCGUGAGACAGUUCGGUCCCUAUCUGCCGUGGGCGCUGGAGAAUUGAGGGGGGCUGCUCCUAGUACGAGAGGACCGGAGUGGACGCAUCACUGGUGUUCGGGUUGUCAUGCCAAUGGCAUUGCCCGGUAGCUAAAUGCGGAAGAGAUAAGUGCUGAAAGCAUCUAAGCACGAAACUUGCCCCGAGAUGAGUUCUCCCUGACCCUUUAAGGGUCCUGAAGGAACGUUGAAGACGACGACGUUGAUAGGUCGGGUGUGUAAGCGUAGCGAUACGUUGAGCUAACCGAUACUAAUGAACCGUGAGGCUUAACCUUACAACGCCGAAG
RNAcentral lists this ribosomal RNA (1547 nucleotides) under Citrobacter freundii. Its description in RNAcentral is "bacterial LSU rRNA". It matches the Rfam family "Bacterial large subunit ribosomal RNA", at positions 1415 to 2925 of the family's 2925-position model. The record is from RNAcentral. Lineage: Bacteria; Pseudomonadati; Pseudomonadota; Gammaproteobacteria; Enterobacterales; Enterobacteriaceae.